UUCAGGUAUGAUUUUGAAUUUAGAUCAUGUGAAGAGGCUUCAGGUAUGGUAAUCAAGCAUCACGCAUCACUCAUCUUCAUCUUCACCUAUAAUACAUGAUUUGGGGAAAAAAACGUCCGUCGCCCCUUGAUAAUCAUGGUGGUUGGAAACGACAAUCUUCAGUCAUCUCCACCCACUCGCUCCGUAAACGGCGAUCUUCUGUUCUCUGGUGACAACGCAAUUUGAUUAGGUGUUGCUUUUGAUUACUUGGAAUUAGCUCUUCAGAAGUCUGAAGGUUCAUUCUUCUUCUUGAAGAUCUCAGUUUAGUGAGUAAAGGCAAGAUUGGAAUUUGUCAUCUGAUACCGAUAAAUAAGAAUUAUAUUACAUGCUUCUUAUGAUUAUUGAUGUAUUUUAUAGUACUAACACCCUGGUAUUUGGCUAGAAAAAUUGAACAUUUCUUUUCC
RNAcentral lists this long non-coding RNA (443 nucleotides) under Helianthus annuus (common sunflower). RNAcentral describes it as "hypothetical non coding rna". The record is from RNAcentral. Lineage: Eukaryota; Viridiplantae; Streptophyta; Magnoliopsida; Asterales; Asteraceae.